UACGAAGGGGGCUAGCGUUGCUCGGAAUCACUGGGCGUAAAGCGCACGUAGGCGGCUUGUUAAGUCAGACGUGAAAUCCCUCGGCUUAACCGGGGAACUGCGUCUGAUACUGGAUGGCUUGAGGUUGGGAGAGGGAUGCGGAAUUCCAGGUGUAGCGGUGAAAUGCGUAGAUAUCUGGAGGAACACCGGUGGCGAAGGCGGCAUCCUGGACCAAUUCUGACGCUGAGGAGCGAAAGCCAGGGGAGCAAACGGG
Molecule: ribosomal RNA, 253 nt
Filed under: uncultured prokaryote
Description: partial 16S ribosomal RNA
Rfam family: Bacterial small subunit ribosomal RNA
Source: RNAcentral